Molecule: ribosomal RNA, 392 nt
Filed under: uncultured bacterium
Lineage: Bacteria
Description: partial 16S ribosomal RNA
Rfam family: Bacterial small subunit ribosomal RNA
Source: RNAcentral
AUACGGAGGAUCCGAGCGUUAUCCGGAUUUAUUGGGUUUAAAGGGUGCGCAGGCGGCCAUUUAAGUCAGCGGUUAAAUCUUGGGGCUCAACCCCAUUCUGCCGUUGAUACUGGGUGGCUUGAUUGCGGUCGAGGUUGGCGGAAUUCGUUGUGUAGCGGUGAAAUGCAUAGAUAUGACGAAGAACACCGAUUGCGUAGGCAGCUGACCAGAUCGCAAAUGACGCUCAUGCACGAAAGUGCGGGGAUCGAACAGGAUUAGAUACCCUGGUAGUCCGCACAGUAAACGAUGAAUACUUGUUUUCGGCGAUAUAAUGUCGGAGGCAAAGCGAAAGCGAUAAGUAUUCCACCUGGGGAGUACGCCGGCAACGGUGAAACUCAAAGGAAUUGACGGGG